AUUGAACGCUGGCGGCAUGCCUUACACAUGCAGGUCGAACGGCAGCGGGGGAGAAGCUUGCUUUUCCUGCCGGCGAGUGGCGAACGGGUGAGUAAUACAUCGGAACGUGCCCUGUAGUGGGGGAUAACUAGUCGAAAGAUUAGCUAAUACCGCAUACGACCUGAGGGUGAAAGUGGGGGACCGCAAGGCCUCAUGCUAUAGGAGCGGCCGAUGUCUGAUUAGCUAGUUGGUGGGGUAAAGGCCUACCAAGGCGACGAUCAGUAGCUGGUCUGAGAGGACGAUCGGCCACACUGGGACUGAGACACGGCCCAGAUUCCUACGGGAGGCAGCAGUGGGGAAUUUUGGACAAUGGGCGAAAGCCUGAUCCAGCAAUGCCGCGUGUGUGAAGAAGGCCUUCGGGUUGUAAAGCACUUUUGUCCGGAAAGAAAUGGCUCUGGUUAAUACCUGGGGUCGAUGACGGUACCGGAAGAAUAAGGACCGGCUAACUACGUGCCAGCCGCCGCAGUAA
RNAcentral lists this ribosomal RNA (508 nucleotides) under uncultured bacterium. RNAcentral's name for it is "partial 16S ribosomal RNA". It matches the Rfam family "Bacterial small subunit ribosomal RNA", at positions 30 to 523 of the family's 1533-position model. The record is from RNAcentral.